RNAcentral lists this ribosomal RNA (262 nucleotides) under uncultured prokaryote. Its description in RNAcentral is "partial 16S ribosomal RNA". It matches the Rfam family "Bacterial small subunit ribosomal RNA", at positions 524 to 784 of the family's 1533-position model. The record is from RNAcentral.
UACGUAGGUGGCAAGCGUUGUCCGGAUUUAUUGGGCGUAAAGCGAGCGCAGGCGGUUCCUUAAGUCUGAUGUGAAAGCCCACGGCUCGACCGUGGAAGGUCAUUGGAAACUGGGGAACGUUGAGUGCAGAAGAGGAGAGUGGAAUUCCAUGUGUAGCGGUGAAAUGCGUAGAUAUAUGGAGGAACACCAGUGGCGAAGGCGACUCUCUGGUCUGUAACUGACGCUGAGGCUCGAAAGCGUGGGGAGCAAACAGGAUUAGAUA